This 426-nucleotide ribosomal RNA is filed under the name uncultured bacterium. Its description in RNAcentral is "bacterial SSU rRNA". It matches the Rfam family "Bacterial small subunit ribosomal RNA", at positions 357 to 773 of the family's 1533-position model. The record is from RNAcentral.
GGGAAUUGUUCGCAAUGGGCGCAAGCCUGACGACGCAACGCCGCGUGGAGGAUGAAGAUCUUCGGGUCGUAAACUCCUGUCGAAUGGGACGAACGGAUCGCGUGUGAACAACACGUGGUCGUGACGGUACCGUUAAAGGAAACCCCGGCUAACUCCGUGCCAGCAGCCGCGGUAAUACGUAGGGUCCAAGCGUUAUCCGGAAUUACUGGGCGUAAAGCGUGUGUAGGCGGGAGUUUAAGUGCAAUGCGAAAUCUUGUGGCUCAACCAUAUAGACUGUAUUGCAUACUGGACACCUUGAGGAUGGCAGAGGCAAGUGGAAUUUGUAGUGUAGCAGUAAAAUGCGUAGAUAUUACAAGGAACACCAAUGGCGAAGGCAGCUUGCUGGGCCAUAUCUGACGCUGAGACACGAAAGCGUGGGGAGCGAAC